This 117-nucleotide small RNA is filed under the name Klebsiella pneumoniae. RNAcentral's name for it is "partial RtT sRNA". It matches the Rfam family "RtT RNA", at positions 15 to 130 of the family's 130-position model. From Rfam's summary of the family: This family represents a bacterial cis-regulatory element known as RtT RNA. The record is from RNAcentral. Lineage: Bacteria; Pseudomonadati; Pseudomonadota; Gammaproteobacteria; Enterobacterales; Enterobacteriaceae.
GGGAAGGAUGAGAAGCUUCGACUAAGGUUCGACUCGAGCGAAGCGAGAGAACGUUGCCGCAGGCAAUGGCCCGAAGGCGAGGCGCUUUAGCGCCGAGUAAUCCUUACCCCACCACUG